CCUUCUUCCUCCUCUUCGCUGAAUACAGCUCACGGUAAGUACUGGUUCACACAGUUCGUUCUCGAGGUGCUCACUCUCUUUCUCUUCCUCCACAGGCAACGGCUGGGACACAAAAGCACAGUUAAUUCGGCUUGGUUUUGCUCUCACCUCUUCGCUGAUUACAGCUCACAGUAAGUACUGGUUCACACAGUUCGUUCCUUGGGUGCUCACUCGCUUUCUCUUUCUCCACAGGCAGCGGCGUAAGUACAGGUUUCCUCUGUUUCUCCUUGUGUUACUCACUCUCUCUCUCCUUUUCUCUCCACAGGUAUCAACUUGGGCGCAAAGCACAGUUACUCUGCUUUGGAUGGCUUUCACCUCUGGGCUGGACACAGUGUACCGUGCUAUCUCCGGAGAUCUGAAGCACGCUCACAACAUAUACUGUACUGAACUAGGCUAGGACCAGCAGUCUCCUUGUCCUCCCGCAACGAAGUGCGUGAAGGCGGGGGUUUAUCUGACAAGACAC
This is a long non-coding RNA of Cyprinus carpio carpio, 502 nucleotides long. The record is from Ensembl. Lineage: Eukaryota; Metazoa; Chordata; Actinopteri; Cypriniformes; Cyprinidae.